ACCCAGAUGAUAUUGAAUAAGAACUUUAACUUGUUCAAAAUAUAAAAAAGAAAUUUAAUAGUCCAAACCAAUAUUAAAAGUACAACCAAAAAUCUAAUACAACCAACCGAUUCAAAAACAAAACAAUAAUGUAUAUAAUUAACUAAUUGAAAACCGAAGGAAAAUAGUCACUCCUGCUUGAUGCCUCCAUUGUAACACUUGAAAUCCC
RNAcentral lists this long non-coding RNA (208 nucleotides) under Trifolium pratense (red clover). RNAcentral's name for it is "long non-coding RNA (TPRA_LNC001933)". The record is from RNAcentral. Lineage: Eukaryota; Viridiplantae; Streptophyta; Magnoliopsida; Fabales; Fabaceae.